This 2506-nucleotide unclassified non-coding RNA is filed under the name Apis dorsata (giant honeybee). RNAcentral's name for it is "nephrin-like, transcript variant X4". Lineage: Eukaryota; Metazoa; Arthropoda; Insecta; Hymenoptera; Apidae. The record is from RNAcentral.
GGAAAAAGUUUGGAAGCGGAGCGUCGGAACGGAAGUGGAGGAGGAGUUUGAACGCGGUUAGGAUGGUUCGAGGGUGAAAUUGAAUCAAGAGACGUUCAUCAGUAUGCUGUGGAUAUUGAUCGCUGUGACGUGCAUCGAGCUAUCGACCACUGCCAACGCACAGUCGAGAAAAACUACCGCUACGUCUAUGCGAGAGGAUGCGAACAACAACACCGAGCCGGAUCAUCCGAUACCCAUGGAGUCGAUACAGGGAGUGGCAGGACAGAGGGCAACUUUGCCCUGUAAUAUACAACCCCGUGAGCCGAACGAUGCCGUCUCCAUGGUGCUCUGGUUCAAAGAGGACAGCGGUGAACCUCUCUACAGCUACGACGCGAGGAAUCGACAGUUCGGCAAGGCGAAGCUGUGGAGCGCCUCCCACUUUUGGGGGGAGAGGGCAACGUUCAAAGCCAGUCAACCAGCCCAGCUGACGAUUCGAGACCUGCGGGAAACCGACCAAGGUGUUUACAGAUGCAGAGUCGAUUUUCGCAACUCGCCGACCAGGAACCUCAAGGUCAACUUCACCGUCAUCGUGCCACCGGCCAAGCCGAUCAUUUACGACGCGAAAAGGAGGGAUAUGAGCAAACUUCUCGAGGCCUAUCCAGAAGGAGCGGAUCUGUUUCUCGUGUGCGAGGUUCAUGGAGGUAAACCUAGGCCCCGGGUCACGUGGCUGCUGGAGUCGCAGACAAUCGAUGCGCCGUCGGAGAUUCGGGAGAGCCAAGGGCCAGGAGGCGAAGCCAACGUCGUGACCAUAAGCAACGUGACGCUGAAGGGUCUCACGAGGAGUCACUACCACGCCAAAUUGUUGUGCAAGGCGAACAAUACUCAUUUAGCACCGCCCCCCACCACUGCCGUCAUCAUCGAGCUUCACAUGAAACCAUUGAAAGUUGAAAUUACGAAAAGGGACGAGAUUCUCUUGGCGGGGAAGAAAUACGAAACUAGAUGUCAGAGCACGGGAUCGAAGCCGCCCGCCGUUUUAACCUGGUGGAAGGCCUCCAAGCAGCUCAAGAGGACGAUCAGAAACUUUCAGGAAGACGGAACAAGCGUGAGCGUGUUGCAAUGGACACCGUCGAUCGAAGACGAGGGGAAAUUUCUGGUGUGCAGGGCGACCAAUCCGAAGCUGCAGGACACGGGUAUCGAGGAACGAUGGAAGCUAAAAGUGCAUUUUGUUCCUGUCGUCACUCUGAAAAUGGGCACAUCGUUGAAUCCAAAGAACAUCAAGGAAGGGGACGACGUUUACUUCGAGUGCAACGUUAGGGCGAAUCCUAGGGCUUACAGAUUGACAUGGUUUCACGAGGAGGAAGAGCUCCAUUACAACGUGACCGCAGGCAUAGUGCUCUCGGACCAUUCUCUGGUGCUUCAAAGUAUAACUCGAGAAUCCGCUGGAAAAUACAGCUGCACGGCCGUCAAUGUCGAGGGUCGCGCCAGUUCCAACGUAGUGAACCUCGAGGUUAUGUUUGAAUCUAAAGACGUUGUGUGUUUCGCGUGCAAAAAAAAAACAGUCGCUCCUGUUUGCAAGCACGUGUUAAAUUCGGCCGGAUGGAGGUAUCAAAACGCGACGCCGCCACCGUUCAACGUACCCGAGGAGAUUCACGGCGCGUUGAAGCACGAAACGAUCGGUCUUGUUUGCGAGGUGGAGGCAAACCCGGCCACGGUCACCUUCCAUUGGACGUUCAACAGCAGCGGUGACCUUGUCGACAUUCCGUCCACCAAAUAUUCGAACGAAGGCACUUCGAGCAGGCUCAAUUACACCCCCUCUUCCGACCAGGAUUACGGCACGCUGGCCUGUUGGGCGAGUAAUGCGGUUGGCCCCUCGAAACAGCCCUGCCUCUACCAAGUGAUCGCAGCAGGCAGGCCGUACCCGUUGCAGAAUUGCACGGCGCACAAUCAGAGCGGCUCCUGGAUCCGGAUAUCAUGCGUGGAGGGAUACGACGGGGGUUUGCCGCAAAAAUUCGUCGCGAUCGUGGACAAGCAACGGUUGGAAUCGUCGAAUCCGUAUUGGGAGUUGGAGCUUCGAAAUCCGGCAACGGUCGCCCUAUACGCGGUCAACAUGAAGGGAUCGAGCGAUCCGGUUAUCAUGGAAGGGGAGGCGUUAAAAGGAGUGGCCAAGUUCACCGGUGCGGGAAUCGGGAUCCUCGGUGGACAUGUCACCGAUCCUGAUCGGGCUGGGCGGAACCGCGACUGGACUAGGCUUGAUCGUGACCGGUGUAUUAAUGGCACUUUGGAGGAAACACGCGGCAACACCGGCGAAAGCGAAACCGCCUCAACAGCCGAGCAUCGCGACAUUCGCCGGCAAGGGUGAAGAGGAAGACGGGAAUCCUGACCUCAUACCCACCACAGCUUUGACCAAUCAUCUCACAGGAAGCUUUUACAUUACGGUUCCCUACCACGAAGGCCGCGUCAACUCGAAGGGCGGGAAAUGGCUCAUAAUGUCGUAGAAGAUUCGGAUUAUCCUCGAGCAUCGCCAAAC